UAUUAGGAAGGUGAUUUUAUUGUUGUGGCUGGCCUGUGUAUACAAUCAACAUGUGUCAAUAGGCAUUAAAUACAGUUUCAUGUGGAAAACUAUUUCUCUUAAUGGUCUCAUUUCUUUCAUUUGAAAACAACAAAACAAACUGGAAUACAUUUCUGAACUUUCAUAACCAAAUCAAAUAUGUGCUUUUUCUGGCCUUUCUCUGCAUUUCAUACAUACCGUGCCCAAAUACCAGAAGUCAGUGAAGUAAAAAGAAGACGUGUGAGCUGGUCUGUAGUAAGCUUUGUCUUUAUUAGUUAUGCUUGAACACUACAUUCCCAGCUGAUUAUUACGUUGUUACUGUAAUUAUUAUUUUCAGAUUCAAAACAUAGUGUUCUAAACUUUCAGGUGGGACAACAACACAGAAAUAUAGAAUAAUAAUAAAAUAUGUCUGUAAUAAAAUUCAGUUCAAGUUCAAAGUAAUAUAACUCAAACUGAGUAACUACCAGAUUCCUCCCACUGUCUAAAGACAUGCAUGGUAGGUUAAUUGGUGAUUUUAAAUUGGCCAUAGGUGUGAGUGUGUAUAGUUGUCGGGGUCUUUGUGUUAGCACAGCAUUGUCCAGGGUGUCCACCUCUUCAUCAGUCAGCUUUUAUAUUUAUUACUGUAGAUGUUAAUGAACUUAUCAGUAAAAACGUCUACAUCGUGUAUUUCAAGUGUCCAAAUUCCUUCAGCUUUUUCUUUUUUUUUUUUUUUAUUGUUAAAAGCUCCUUUUAUAAAGUAUUAAACUUGUCAUCAAUUUACACAGUGAGCUCCUGAUAAACAGUAAGUUUCUAAUGGACUGAAUCUGUGCCUGAGUGUGAUACCCAAAACCCUCCCCAAAAACGCAAUAAUUGAAUUUUAUUAAGCUUUUGUCAUCUGUAGAAGCUAUACAGUGCUGUGGAGUAUUUGCCCCCCUACAGAAAUCUUCUAUUUUUGCCUAUUUUUCACACUUAAAUGUUUCAGAUCAUCAAACAAAAUUUAAUGUAAAACUAAGAUAACCCAAGAAAACACAAAAUGCACGUCUCAAAUUAUGAUUUUAUUUACUGAAGAAAAAAUGCUGUCCAGCCCAUUUUGCCCUACGUGAAAAAGUAAUUGCGCCCUUAGCUAUAAAUCUACCAAAUGACCAAAUGAAUUUGGUAACUGGGUUCAGUUUCUCCAGCCACACCCACAUAUGAUUACUGUCAGGCUUGUUGAAUCUGAACAUAAUUAAAUAGAACCUGUCUGACACUGUGAAGUAGCUAAAGGGUGUGAAAAAGCAGCACAUGAUGCCACGUUCUGAAGAGAUUCAAGAACAGAUGAGAAACAAAGUCACUGACAUUUAUCAGUCAUUGCUGAGGCUCUGAGACUCCAGAGAACCACAGUGAGAGACAUUAUCCACAAAUGGAGAAAACACGGAAGAGAGGUGAACAUUCCCAUUAGUGACUGGCCUGACCAACAUUUCUCCAAGAGCGUGUCAAUAUCUAACCCAUGUUUAGGUCACAAAAGAACCCAGGCAAACGUCAAAAGAUCUGCAGGCCUCACUGGUCUCAGUUAAGGUCCGUCUGCAUCAUUCCACAAUAAGGAAGACUCUGGGUGAAGAUGGCGUCCAUGGGAGAGGCACAAACCACUGCUGACCAAAAAGAACAUAAAGGUCCGUCCGGCGUUUGCAAAAAUAUAUCUAGAUGAGCCAUUAGACUUUUGGAAUAACAUCCUGUGGACUUGAUGAAUCACAGGUGGAACUUUUUGAAAGACAUGGGUCCCGUUAAUCUGGUGCAAAGCUAAAACUACUUUCCACAAGAAGCACAUGAUGGUGAAACAUGUUGGUGGUAGUGGUGUGAUGGUUUGGAGCUGCUUUUCUUCCACAGGAACUGGGCGACGUGUUGUAAUUGAUGGAGCCGUGAAUUCUGCUCUCUGUCAGAAAAUCUUCCUGGAGAAAUAGCCACCAUCAGUUCAUGACCUACCUAAGCUAUCGCCAAGUUGCCAAGGGUGGCCCAAGCAUUUAUUAGGUUUAGGUGGACGUUUGUUUUUUCACAGGGGGGCUGAUAUGAGUUUUCAGUAAAUCUUUAAUAAAUUAUCGUUUAAAAACUGCAUUUUGUAAUUUGUGCACUAUCUCUGUCGAAUAUUAAAUAUGCAUAUUUUUGUCAUCUGGACAAUUUAAGUGUGAGAAAUAUGCAAAAAUCAAAGGUUUCUGCUUUUUCACGGCACUGUAUAUACUGCAUAACACUGGAAUGAUUUCCAAGAGGUGUUCCCACCAGAUGGCCACGACUAUGAAACCACUGGUGGUUACUGUAAGGGGAACUGUCUGCUUAUGCUAAACAAGAUUUUCUACUGGGACUGUUUGGCUUCUGACUCAACAGAUAUGCGCAAGCAAGCCCUGCUUUUAUGGUUUCAAUAUGAGAAUUCUGUGGGGGUAAGGGCAACAACAGUUGAAUUGGGCAUAAAUGAAAGUGUAACCGCUGUAUGUGUUAUGACAUUACAAUAGGUAGCUGAAAAUACAAAUGAGUUUGAUUUAGUUGUUGCUUAGUUGCAGCCCCUGUGUUAAAUGAUCCAUCAGUCAAUUUCCAUUCAUAGAUAUAUUUCACAUUUGUGAGACACUUAGUUUUUGUGAAUCUCAUGUUAGAGAAUAGUCUGUGGUUUCUUUUCAAACAUUGUGCAGCACUGCACAUAAAGAUAAGGUGAUUAAGGUAAAUAAAAUGUUUUUUUAGAAGCCACUUGGUAAAUGCUAUCUCUUAACAUGUACAUGUAGUGUUGUACUUAUUCUACAUUUAAUAUAACAUUACAAUCAUUUCUUUUCUUGAGAUUGCAAGUUCACAUUUCUUACUUUUCACUCUUUUUUACUAGUAAUGCUGGUUGGAUAAACAGUUAAGGAGAAGAAUGAAAACAGUCAGUGUGGUACAGUAAGUGUGGUGUCCUCUGCAGGUUUUGAAACAACACCAUUCAUCAUGUCCAUGUCUUUUUCCUUGACCAGGCAUAGUAACCACAAGCGGACAGAAUAACACUUUCUCACAGGUCCAGAUUAGCAGUGGCAGGGUCAUCAAUAACUGUAAAAAAAUGAAAGAAAAGAAAAGUCAGAUAAAUCUUAUUCUACUCUGUGUGUUAUGAUCAGUGUAACACUAAGUAUAAGGCAGGUGAAAUGACAUGGAAACUGUUUCUUUGUGCCAAACACGUGUUAACAUUCCAGUCUGCAAAGAUUUUUAGUCAUUACACCUUCCUAACAGGUGAAACUAUUCAUACAACUACCUGUGAACUCCAAAAUUCCAACUGUGAGAUUCUUGUCAAGGCAUCACUUGGUAUGAGGAUAUUAUCUGUUUACCAGAACAUGCAUAAAACACUACAUGCCAGUCAACAAGUUUUGCACGUUCACCUACAAGUAGGAGGGAAAGUAUGUGUUUUUCUUGAAUUUAGUCUGGAGAAUCUACCUUGUUUACCCCACAGCACAUUUCAUACAUCUGGAUUUUAACUUUAUCAUCUGUUGUUGAACAAUGUGACAGGAUUAGGUUUGGUUGUACUUUUACAAACUGUCAGAAGCAGUUUAGUAUCUGCUUUUAAAAUGUUUUCACAACUUUAUGACAUUAUGUCCAAUUCUCUACACAUACCACUGCCAGAUAUCAUCAGAUUUAGGGUGCUUAUGCAAGUGUUCAUCAUCCUUGAAAGUUGUAAGCUUUAACUAUCAACAAAGUUUCGUUGCAGAAAUGUAAUGACAAUAAACAUCCUUGAAUCCUUGAAUCUUUUCAACAUUUAAUCAUACUCAAUGUAAUUAGAAUAUUUGUCCAGAAAUUACAAAAAAAAAUCUAUAUGUAUAUCUUUAAAAUAAGAUAAAAUGGAUGAUAAGUGAUUGCAUACGUAUCCUCCCCCCUUGAAAGCGACUCAUCAAUUUCAACACAAUUGCAGCCAAUUGGUGCUAGAAGUCACAGUUAUUGAAAUGAAGCUAAUCUGAGUGCGGUGAAUGCAUCCUAAGUGACUGUAGUAUAAAGACACCUGUAUCUGAAAUGUCAAGUUGCUGGAUACUCCUGGAUAUAACUACACCCUGAUGACAUAAGAACACUCCAAGCAACUCUUUGAAAAGGUUAUUGAAAAGCAUAAGUCAGAGGAUAGUUACAAAAAAAAAUAAUUCAAAGACAAUAUCCCUUGGAGUACAGUUAGAUCUGUCAUUAGGAAAUAGAAGGAAUAUGAUAAAUGCAUAAUUCUGCCUAUAACAGGUUGUCUUCUAAAACUGAGUGACCGUAUAAGACAGAGACUAGUGGGGGAGGCCACCACGACACCUAUGACUCCUCUUAAGGAGUUACAGUCAUCUGAGAUGCAUUCAUUGCAUUCAAAUGAUCUAACUUUCAAUAACUGGGACUUCUAGCACCAGUUGCCUACACUUGUGUUGAAUUAGUCACUUUAAUAGGGGUGACUAAUGAUGUAAUCACUUAUUUUACAUUUUAUAUAUUUAAAUAAUUGACAUUGCUGUGUAGUAAUCUGAUUUCACUUUGACAUGAAAGAGACAAAAGCCAAAUUGACUUGAAUAUGAUUCAGUGUUUAAAAGCAAUAAAAGGGGAAAACACUGAGGGUCUGUGAUACGUUUUCUAGGCACUAUAUGUGCCUUUCUAUACCAGCAUGGAAAAUCACAGCAAGCUGUAAAUAUUCCUACAGUCCAACCUUCAGCCACACACCACACAGUUAUGCAUACAAUGUAUAGGUCUAAUAGAAUACUGGGACAAAAAAACUAAAACGUCAAUCGUUGGUGGGAACGUACACAAUGUAUUCAAAGUUAGACAAGGAUAGCAUUGUAAAGGUUGGCGUUAGUCACCUUGUCAUACACCUUGUCAGUUAUCAAAGUCUACAGUUAAACCUGUUCUCCAAGACAUUGUUUGACCAAAUUCUGGCCUUUCUCUGUACACAAAACAUCACACUCCUGAACAAAAUGUGAAGCUGCUGACAACCCUGUGCAUUGUGUGCAGACUUAAACUUGUAACUUUUAUUUGCUUGCCAUUGUAAAACAUCAAAUUAUCAGUCAAAGUCUGAUGACACAGCCUACAUUGUGUAAAAAGACGUAUUUGUCUUGUUUAG
Long non-coding RNA from Amphiprion ocellaris (clown anemonefish), 5047 nucleotides. Lineage: Eukaryota; Metazoa; Chordata; Actinopteri; Pomacentridae. The record is from Ensembl.